RNAcentral lists this ribosomal RNA (433 nucleotides) under uncultured bacterium. RNAcentral describes it as "partial 16S ribosomal RNA". It matches the Rfam family "Bacterial small subunit ribosomal RNA", at positions 29 to 507 of the family's 1533-position model. The record is from RNAcentral.
AACGAACGCUGGCGGCAUGCCUAACACAUGCAAGUCGAACGAGACCUUCGGGUCUAGUGGCGCACGGGUGCGUAACGCGUGGGAACCUGCCCUUAGGUUCGGAAUAACUCCUCGAAAGGGGUGCUAAUACCGGAUAAUGUCUUCGGACCAAAGAUUUAUCGCCUUUGGAUGGGCCCGCGUUGGAUUAGCUAGUUGGUGAGGUAAGAGCUCACCAAGGCGACGAUCCAUAGCUGGUCUUAGAGGAUGAUCAGCCACACUGGGACUGAGACACGGCCCAGACUCCUACGGGAGGCAGCAGUGGGGAAUAUUGGACAAUGGGCGCAAGCCUGAUCCAGCAAUGCCGCGUGAGUGAUGAAGGCCUUAGGGUUGUAAAGCUCUUUUACCCGGGAUGAUAAUGACAGUACCGGGAGAAUAAGCCCCGGCUAACUCCGUG